Molecule: ribosomal RNA, 468 nt
Filed under: uncultured bacterium
Lineage: Bacteria
Description: partial 16S ribosomal RNA
Rfam family: Bacterial small subunit ribosomal RNA
Source: RNAcentral
GACGAACGCUGGCGGCGUGCUUAACACAUGCAAGUCGAACGGAAAGGCCCUGCUUUUGUGGGGUGCUCGAGUGGCGAACGGGUGAGUAACACGUGAGUAACCUGCCCUUGACUUUGGGAUAACUUCAGGAAACUGGGGCUAAUACCGGAUAGGAGCUCUUGCUGCAUGGUGGGGGUUGGAAAGUUUCGGCGGUUGGGGGUGGACUCGCGGCUUAUUGGCUUGUUGGUGGGGUAGUGGCUUCCCAAGGCUUUGACCGGUGGCCGGGCUGGGCGGGUGACCGGCCACGUUGGGACUGAGAUAAGGCCCAGACUCCUCCGGGAGGCGACAGUGGGGAAUAUUACACUAUGGGCGGAAGCCUAAUGCAGCAACGCCGCGUGCGGGAUGACGGCCUUCGGGUUGUAAACCACUUUCGCCUGUGACGAAGCGUGAGUGACGGUAAUGGGUAAAGAAGCACCGGCUAACUACGUG